Molecule: ribosomal RNA, 253 nt
Filed under: uncultured bacterium
Lineage: Bacteria
Description: partial 16S ribosomal RNA
Rfam family: Bacterial small subunit ribosomal RNA
Source: RNAcentral
UACGGGGGGGGCAAGCGUUGUUCGGAAUUACUGGGCGUAAAGGGCUCGUAGGCGGCCAACUAAGUCGGAUGUGAAAUCCCCAGGCUUAACCUGGGAACUGCAUCCGAUACUGGAUGGCUUGAAUCCGGGAGAGGGAUGCAGAAUUCCAGGUGUAGCGGUGAAAUGCGUAGAUAUCUGGAGGAACACCGGUGGCGAAGGCGGCGUCCUGGACCAAUACUGACACUGAAACGCGAAAGCCAGGGGAGCAAACGGG